GUGAACGCCGGCGGUAGGCCUAACACAUGCAAGUCGAACGGCAGCACAGUAAGAGCUUGCUCUUACGGGUGGCGAGUGGCGGACGGGUGAGGAAUACAUCGGAAUCUACUUUUUCGUGGGGGAUAACGUAGGGAAACUUACGCUAAUACCGCAUACGACCUACGGGUGAAAGCAGGGGAUCUUCAGACCUUGCGCGAUUGAAUGAGCCGAUGUCGGAUUAGCUAGUUGGCGGGGUAAAGGCCCACCAAGGCGACGAUCCGUAGCUGGUCUGAGAGGAUGAUCAGCCACACUGGAACUGAGACACGGUCCAGACUCCUACGGGAGGCAGCAGUGGGGAAUAUUGGACAAUGGGCGCAAGCCUGAUCCAGCCAUACCGCGUGGGUGAAGAAGGCCUUCGGGUUGUAAAGCCCUUUUGUUGGGAAAGAAAAGCAGCAGGUUAAUACCCCGCUGUUCUGACGGUACCCAAAGAAUAAGCACCGGCUAACUUCGUG
This 491-nucleotide ribosomal RNA is filed under the name uncultured bacterium. RNAcentral's name for it is "partial 16S ribosomal RNA". It matches the Rfam family "Bacterial small subunit ribosomal RNA", at positions 29 to 507 of the family's 1533-position model. The record is from RNAcentral.